This 73-nucleotide transfer RNA is filed under the name Patiria miniata (bat star). RNAcentral's name for it is "tRNA-Ile". It matches the Rfam family "tRNA". From Rfam's summary of the family: Transfer RNA (tRNA) molecules are approximately 80 nucleotides in length. Their secondary structure includes four short double-helical elements and three loops (D, anti-codon, and T loops). The record is from Rfam by way of RNAcentral. Lineage: Eukaryota; Metazoa; Echinodermata; Asteroidea; Valvatida; Asterinidae.
GGCUGGAUAGCUCAGUUGGUAGAGCACCGGAAUAAUUAUUCGGAGGUCGUGGGUUCAAGCCACACUCAAGUCA